GCGGCAGCCUAAGAAGUAAGAGCGGCAGCCUCCGAAGCUGUAGGUCAGAGGUUCGAAUCCUCUCGGGUGCACCA
This 74-nucleotide transfer RNA is filed under the name Terriglobus saanensis SP1PR4. Its description in RNAcentral is "tRNA-Arg". It matches the Rfam family "tRNA". Rfam says of the family: Transfer RNA (tRNA) molecules are approximately 80 nucleotides in length. Their secondary structure includes four short double-helical elements and three loops (D, anti-codon, and T loops). Further hydrogen bonds mediate the characteristic L-shaped molecular structure. tRNAs have two regions of fundamental functional importance: the anti-codon, which is responsible for specific mRNA codon recognition, and the 3' end, to which the tRNAs corresponding amino acid is attached (by aminoacyl-tRNA synthetases). tRNAs cope with the degeneracy of the genetic code in two manners: having more than one tRNA (with a specific anti-codon) for a particular amino acid; and 'wobble' base-pairing, i.e. permitting non-standard base-pairing at the 3rd anti-codon position. The record is from RNAcentral. Lineage: Bacteria; Pseudomonadati; Acidobacteriota; Terriglobia; Terriglobales; Acidobacteriaceae.